CUCGUGUGCGAUAGUGGACUGUGGCGACCGAUACGUUUUUGGUCUGAAAUUUGUAUAGCGCGCUUAAUUUUUAUCCAUAGAGGAUGUAACUUGCACCCUCGUCCUAGGAAAGGUGGUAAAAGUCCGUUUAGAGAACUUUGUAUUUGUUGUCUCGUUGUGGCCAGCAACGAGACGAGGCGUACGGUGUUUGGAUACCAAAGUAGAACUUUGCCGAAGCAAUGCAAGAUCAAUGAAAAUAAAGUGCUUUGUAAAACAAGUAAAAUGUUUAGCCGACGUAAAACAAGUGAAUAAAAGACUAGCCGAAGUGAAAGCAAGUGAAUGAAAACUAGCCGAAGUGAAAGCAAGUGAACGAAAAAAUGAAGUGAAAUAAAUCUAGAGAUACCUGACUUGACGAGCUAAAAAAUUAAGAUAUGGUGUAAGUAUGGUGUAUACGUACCUACUCCCCC
RNAcentral lists this long non-coding RNA (446 nucleotides) under Eutrema salsugineum. RNAcentral describes it as "long non-coding RNA (ESAL_LNC002181)". Lineage: Eukaryota; Viridiplantae; Streptophyta; Magnoliopsida; Brassicales; Brassicaceae. The record is from RNAcentral.